Molecule: ribosomal RNA, 758 nt
Filed under: Bifidobacterium sp. HGAT9
Lineage: Bacteria; Bacillati; Actinomycetota; Actinomycetes; Bifidobacteriales; Bifidobacteriaceae
Description: bacterial SSU rRNA
Rfam family: Bacterial small subunit ribosomal RNA
Source: RNAcentral
AGUCGACGGGAUCCGGGGGGUCGCCUCCGGGAGAGAGUGGCGAACGGGUGAGUAAUGCGUGACCGACCUGCCCCAUACACCGGAAUAGCUCCUGGAAACGGGUGGUAAUGCCGGAUGCUCCAGUCCAUCGCAUGGUGGUCUGGGAAAGAUUCCAUCGGUAUGGGAUGGGGUCGCGUCCUAUCAGCUUGAUGGCGGGGUAACGGCCCACCAUGGCUUCGACGGGUAGCCGGCCUGAGAGGGCGACCGGCCACAUUGGGACUGAGAUACGGCCCAGACUCCUACGGGAGGCAGCAGUGGGGAAUAUUGCACAAUGGGCGCAAGCCUGAUGCAGCGACGCCGCGUGCGGGAUGAAGGCCUUCGGGUUGUAAACCGCUUUUGAUCGGGAGCAAGCCCUUCGGGGUGAGUGUACCCUUCGAAUAAGCACCGGCUAACUACGUGCCAGCAGCCGCGGUAAUACGUAGGGUGCAAGCGUUAUCCGGAAUUAUUGGGCGUAAAGGGCUCGUAGGCGGUUCGUCGCGUCCGGUGUGAAAGCCCAUCGCUUAACGGUGGGUCUGCGCCGGGUACGGGCGGGCUGGAGUGCGGUAGGGGAGACUGGAAUUCCCGGUGUAACGGUGGAAUGUGUAGAUAUCGGGAAGAACACCAAUGGCGAAGGCAGGUCUCUGGGCCGUCACUGACGCUGAGGAGCGAAAGCGUGGGGAGCGAACAGGAUUAGAUACCCUGGUAGUCCACGCCGUAAACGGUGGAUGCUGGAUGUGGGG